CGUUCCCGGGCCUUGUACACACCGCCCGUCACACCACGAAAGUCGGUAACACCCGAAGCCAGUGGCCCAACCGUAAGGAGGGAGCUGUCGAAGGUGGGAUCGGUGAUUGGGGUG
Molecule: ribosomal RNA, 114 nt
Filed under: uncultured bacterium
Lineage: Bacteria
Description: partial 16S ribosomal RNA
Rfam family: Bacterial small subunit ribosomal RNA
Source: RNAcentral